ACUGGUGGUCCUCGGCUGUGUCCGUUGAUGGGAGUUCAUGACAUAAUGGCAUUUCAAGGAAAAUGAAAUGAGUAAAGAGUACAAAAAAUUGAAAUCUUCGAAAUAGAAGAAAAAAAAUUACUCAACAAUGUUCUAAACAACAACGAACCCAACAUAGAAAAUUACUCCAGAUAGCAUUAAAAAGGGUUCUUCAUGAACAAAAUGGAGUUGAAAUGCAUUACAAAUUCAUUACAGAAAAAAGGGUUAUUGAGGCUCGAAAGCUACAACAGGAACAAAAUCAAAAAUAAAACUGAUUUGGGACACCAUUAUAUUCCCUUUAACACAUCAAAAUCGUAAAUUAGAGAUACAAAAAUCAAAAAAUCGUGGGUGUUUUCGUGUUUUCAGACCUUUAACCGUGGAACCCAAAUUUGUAGCCCUUCAUUUUUCGUGGUUUAGAGAACAAAAUGAAAAUAAAAAACCAGUACAGUGACUGCUUCUUACCGGAAAAAUCGACGGCAAUUAUGCUCCUCGGUUGUGCAGACGACCGUCGGGGGUGGCGCCAGAAACUUCUCUACUGUCCGCGUUGUGAAGGAAAUGAGAAGUGUCGCCUUUUUUUUUUCUCAUAUCAGAUGGAAACGAAGGGAGGGGUGCUAGGGCUAAAUUGCUUGCAUCGAUUCAAGCGAAGGGCAUGAAAAAAGUUGCCCAAAAUCUGGAUAGAUUAAUUGUCGGA
Molecule: long non-coding RNA, 709 nt
Filed under: Salvia miltiorrhiza (redroot sage)
Lineage: Eukaryota; Viridiplantae; Streptophyta; Magnoliopsida; Lamiales; Lamiaceae
Description: long non-coding RNA (SMIL_LNC012261)
Source: RNAcentral